This 4305-nucleotide long non-coding RNA is filed under the name Papio anubis (olive baboon). RNAcentral's name for it is "lncRNA (ENSPANG00000038937.1)". Lineage: Eukaryota; Metazoa; Chordata; Mammalia; Primates; Cercopithecidae. The record is from RNAcentral.
AUGUUACACAUUCACAUGCAUCUCUCUCCAUUUCCAACUAAGAUGGAAGUGCUGUCCUUUCUUGUCCUGUUCACUGUUUCUCCUGUGCUUCAAGCCAUGCCACUGCCUCCUCAAGGCGCCUGCACUGUUAACUUUCCUUCUUUUUUUCUGGUAUCUUCAACCUCCUUCUCUAUUGUCUUUUUCCUAUGCAUAUCCAAGUGUCUUUCUUUCUUUUUUUAUUUUUUUAACUAUUCUCACCCAAUUUUAUAUUCACAUUCAACACAGUAUCUCCUUUCUCUUCCUGUUUUUUAUGUGUCUUGAGGAAAUUGCCAAAUAUACUGGCUGUUCCUCCUUUGUUGGAUGCAAUUGCUUGGCUUCUUGAACAGCAGUACGCUGACAUUAUAGCUUUUGAUACCUUCCAAGCACUUUAAAGGUUUUCUAAACAAUGGCACUCUUGCACCUAAAUCCAAUAGAUGGUUCUUUUCUUGAAUGAUGUCUUGGAAGUGUUUUAAAUUAUUUAACCAAUCUUUCUUAUUUUUUAUUAAAGGAUAAUUUACAUACAUGAAAAUUGAUCCUCUUAGUAUACAGUUAUAACAGUUUUGACAUAUGUGUACAAUUGUAGAACCAAUACAAUCAAGAUACAUAAUAAUUCCAUCAUCCCUUAAAAUUUUCUUGUGCCCAUGGUAACCAACCUCUCCCUCAGUCAGUCCUCUGACCACUACCGAUCUAUUUGCUGACCUUAUAAUGUUGCCUUUUCCAACAUGUCAUAAAAGUAGAGUCAUAGAGUAUGGAGCCUUUUUGGCCCAGCUUCUUUCAAAUAGCAUUGCACUUUUGUUGUGCACUUCAUCACAAUGUUGUUUUGUGUUUCAGUCAUUCAUUCCUUUUAUUCUAAGUAGUAUUGCACUGUAUAGAUAUACCUCAGUUUAACCAUUCACUGAUUUAAGGAUAUUUGGAUUGGUUCUAGUUUUUAUAAUUAACAAUAAAUCCUGUAUAAACUUUGGGAUAGAGAUGUUUAUGUAAGCACAAGGUUUUAUAUUUUGUAGGUAAAUUCCUAGGGGUAGGAUAACUGGGUCAUAUACUAACUGUAUGUUUAUCUUUACAAGAAAUUACCAAACUGUUUCUAGCAUGGCUGUGCUUUGUGUGUUCCUACCAGCAUAGCAGGAGAACAGGUGCUCCAAAUACCUGGAAAUCUGCCUGGGAAUAGGGUGGACAGGGCCCCACAGCACUAUAUAUUAGGGGAGCAGGCUGGGGCACCCAGCAAUGACACACACAGAAUCAGUUGCAGGUUGCCAAACUGGCCCUAUCUCUUAAGUCUUUCCACCUAGAAGAAACUGCAGCUGUAGCAGCUCUCGUCUUACCCAAGGCUUGCAAUGGGGGAGAGCACAAUUCCAGCACCUACUGCUGAGGCGCUUUCCACAGUUCUGGCCGUGAAGGCCCCCAACUCACUCCAGAGCAGGUGUUCCAAUCUCUGGUCUGAGACUAAAAUGCCUGCAUGGCCAAACUGUUGGCUUUCUAGGCGCCCAGAUUAAUAAUGACGUCCUGCUCUGAGUCCUGGAUCUUGGAGAGUAUCUGCAGCAUUUCCCAGUGUCUUUCCCUCCCAACAUCUCCAAGCCUCUCCCCAAGUUAGCUCCAGGGCUUGAAAGAAACAAAGUGUUCUCUUUCUGUCUCAGCCUGGGUUGCUGAGAUCCCCGUGGGAAAGGUAAAUCACAGAGUGAGGCGCUCUGCCUCUCUCAGGUACUGGGGCUUCACUCACUUUUAUUAGCAGGAUGCCGCCAUAGAGGCUGUUUGCAAGCAUUCUUCUCUCUGGGAUCUGGAGUGUCCUUCAUGAUUCCAGUGGAUUCCCAUUUUUCUUCUUGAAUUAAAGCCCAUAAUGUUGAUCUUUAUGUAAUAUCUUGCUAUUCCCAAUUGGCCGAGACAUGCUAAAAGCCUCUAAUCUGCCAUCUUGGGGGAAAUAAAACUGCCUUUUCUUUUUCUUGUCUUGGUACAAUCUCCAGCAAGAUGUAGAAUAAAAGGACCACUCCUUUUUGUGACCCCCUUUUCUUGGCACCAAUUUCCAUAAAAAAAAAUAAAUUCUAUGUCCUUGAUUACUUCUUCUCAGUCUAUUUCAGUCAUCCUUUCUCUCUUCUUCUAAAUGAUCAUUUUUUUCUCAUUCUUUUUUUCUUCUUAAUUUAUACAUGUUCCCUUCACCCAACUGUCACUCAACUCAUGAUUUUCCUGAUGUAGUUACUCUUAUCACUCCCCUAUCUACUCAUCUAAUUACUCUGAGUGAAUAUUGCAUCUUAAUUUCUCAAAAACACUUAGAAUUAUGUAGGUCCAGAAAACAGAUAAUUACUUCUUCCGUCCCCUGCAUUUGUGAUCAUAAUGAAUGAUUCUAAUAACCACUCACUCAAACCAGAAACCUGAGAAUCUUGUGCAUCUCUUUCAUGCUUAACUUCUAAACAAUACAAGUUAUCAUUUUUCAUUUCAGUAUUAGCAAUUUCAUAUGGUUCCAACAAUAGAAAUUAUCAUUUAACAUUUUAGCAUUAGCAAUUUCAUAUGGUUCCAACUAAUAUAUUCAUUCAACCACUAAAUUCUCGUGAAUAUCUCAGAAACGAAUUCACUUUUCUUCACCCAUUGCUAUUGCCUCUAUUCUAGAUUCUAUCACUUCUAUCUAGGAGAUACAAUGAUAGCCUCUCAAAUGGCCUUCUUCUGGUUUCCCUCAUACUCUUUCCAUUACAUUCUUCAAACUGUGGCCAGCCAACUUAAAAAUCUGAUCAUGCUAGAACGCUUAGCUAAAUAUUUUCAUUUUUUUCAACAUCCUCAGUAAAAUCCAAACUCUACCUCCAAUUACCCUAUAUAAUGUGGUGUUAGUUUAGAUCUUCUCUGUAGCCUCCCCUCUUACUAUACCUCUCCUCUCUUUCAAUUUGUACUCUUGAUCAAUUUGUACCCAAUCUCCCCAAGCAAUUCUACUGAAGUUGUGAAUAUGUUCUAGAGAAAUAAUACAACAGAACCUUCAUUAUAUAUUGAGAUAAAGUCUUAACUUUGCUACUGAUUCACAAAUUUUAUUCAUACUCACUUUUCUAUGUUACCCACAAAGACAACAGUUUCUUAGUAACAGCCCUCCCCAAUCUUUUAUGAUUAAUGUGUGGAUUUUUGUAGCAUGCCAGAAAGUAUUGACAAGGCAUCUUUAUUUCUAUUCUGCCUACCUGUUCUAUACAUUUGUUCAUACUUGGGAAAAUUAAAGAUUUCUUAGCUUCAAGAUUUUCAUCUAUGUGUCGAAUAUCAUAGUUUCAUCAUCUGGUUGUUGUAAGGCUCAAUGAGAAUAUAUAUGAGAGGACAUUCUGUAAAAUAUGAAGCUCCUUACAAAAUGCUUACACUUGUCAUUGCCCAGUAAGGUUAAAGUCCUUUGAUUUCUUAGCUAUGAAUUAAUUUUCUAUAAACCAAACCAACUGGACUGCCUAUUACAAUUAUAAAAACUUCAUAUUGUUUGCCUCAUUUCCAUUGUAACCAUGGGAAUUUAUUGUUACCAAGGACUACCCAUGUGUUUUAUAAUGAAUAAACUUUAAAGAAAGUUUUAUGACUGCAUUUUUUUUUUCAUGAUAAAAGCAGCAUGUCCAGGCUACAUACAUUAAAUCUAAUAGGACAUCUCAUUCAUUAGAAGAGCUUUUGAUCGAGAGAUUAAAGAAGUUCUUAUACUGGUAUAGUUAUAAUCUCUAUGUUUAACAACUUUAAAAUAACAAAAGUGCACAAUAAUAGUGAUUCAUAUAAUUCAAAAUACGAAAGAUUAUCUAUUUUCGUGAGAUUCUUGCAUAAUUUAACCAAAACUAUUUUUAUCUUAUUUUUUAUUUAUGUUUUUGAGACAGGGUCUCACUCUGUUGCCCAGGCUGGAGUGCAGUGGUGUGAUCUCGACUCACUGCCUCCUCUGCCUCCCGGGUUCAAGGGAUUCUCCUGCCUCAGACUCCAGAGUAACUGGGAUUACAGGUGUGGGCCACUGUGCCCGGCUAAUUUUUAGGAGAUGGGGUUUCACCAUGUUGACCACGCUGGUCUCGAAGUCCUGGCCUCGAGUGAUCCACGCACCUCGGCCUCCCAAAUUGCUGGGAUUACAAGCAUGAGCCAAUGUGCCCGGUCCAAAAAUAUUUUUAAAGUUACUUGUUUUUACACCAACUAUUUAAAAAUCUUACUAUAUUAUAUCAUUAAUUUUGAAAAAAUAAAUCAAAGUAGUCAUUCAUAGGCUAUGCAUUUCCUAUGUAUUGCAAGUCCCCUGAUAGUUACUGCCUUGCAAUUUUUAUAUUCCUAUAUAUUUGGAAACAAUAAGUAAAGAGAAGAGGGACAAUAUCUAAAUGUAUG